GACGAACGCUGGCGGCGUGCUUAACACAUGCAAGUCGAGCGGAAAGGCCCUUUCGGGGGUACUCGAGCGGCGAACGGGUGAGAAACACGUGAGUAAUCUGCCCUUGGCUUUGGGAUAACCACCGGAAACGGUGGCUAAUACCGGAUAUGACGGGCUCCGGCAUCGGGGUUCGUGGAAAGUUUUUCGGCCAGGGAUGUGCUCGCGGCCUAUCAGCUUGUUGGUGGGGUAAUGGCCUACCAAGGCUUCGACGGGUAGCCGGCCUGAGAGGGUGACCGGCCACACGUGGGACUGAGACACGGCCCAGACUCCGUACGGGAGGCAGCA
Molecule: ribosomal RNA, 324 nt
Filed under: uncultured bacterium
Lineage: Bacteria
Description: bacterial SSU rRNA
Rfam family: Bacterial small subunit ribosomal RNA
Source: RNAcentral